Molecule: ribosomal RNA, 374 nt
Filed under: uncultured organism
Description: partial 16S ribosomal RNA
Rfam family: Bacterial small subunit ribosomal RNA
Source: RNAcentral
GUAGGAGGCAAGCGUUAUCCGGAUUUACUGGGCGUAAAGCGCGUGUAGGCGGCUUCGUAAGUCGGACGUGAAAGCUCCCGGCUCAACUGGGAGAGGCCGUUCGAAACUACGAGGCUAGAGGGCAGAAGAGGGAGGUGGAAUUCAGGGUGUAGCGGUGAAAUGCGUAGAUAUCCUGAGGAACACCAGUGGCGAAGGCGGCCUCCUGGUCUGCUUCUGACGCUCAGACGCGAAAGCUAGGGUAGCGAACGGGGGAUUAGAAACCCCGGUAGUCCUAGCCGUAAACGAUGCGAACUUGGUGUUGGUGGCUUAAACACAAUCAGUGCCCGCAGCUAACGCGAUAAGUUCGCCGCCUGGGGACUACGGCCGCAAGGCUA